UUCGUGGUUGUUUUUCCCACGCAAUAUUUCUCUCCAUUCUUUAAGAUAUUUAUGAAGUUAUUAUCUGGUUUCAGUUGAACACGUGACUAAUAAUUUCCUUAUUUGAGUUUAAAAUCAAACAUAGGGGACAAUCGUUUAGAAUCCUGUCAUAAGUUUAUUCAAUAUACCGACUAUAGUUAAAGGAGGAAGAAGAUUGCUACAUCUUGAUAUAAUAUCCGCUGUUAAUAAUAUUUCACCAACUUCCCCUUGUGGUUGAUCAAGACAUACAGUCGUUUAACAGAGAGAACAGGAUUUAUAAAAGGACGGAAGACAGAAAUUGAAUGAAAGAUGUUGAAGAUACCUUAUUCAAGAGAAAUGGCCUGUGUUACUACUGUAAUAGCCUUCGUCUUUCAGCUAUUAGCUGUAUGGACGCCUCACUGGAUCCAUACUCAUGAGGGUCAGGUUUUAACCAAUUAUAGUGGUUUAUGGGAGACGUGUGAUAUAUAUUAUAAUAAAGACAACAUUAGUUGCUUCACGUGUAAAUAUAUUCACAUAGAUCAACACAAAACACAAGAUGUAUUUAUGAUACAUGUUCAGUUAUUAGCCGUGAGUGCGCUAAUAGUGAUGGGCGUGGUGUUACUGUUACGGCUAGCCAUUCUCUGUUCGUGUUUAGAUAUAUGGAGUUAUUGUAUCCGGGUGAUGAUUAUUGUAACGACCAUAUUAUCAGGGCUGUUAUCGUUAUCCAGUGCCAUCUUGUAUGCAGCAGCUCUAUGCCCUACAUCAGAUGUUAAACAUUCCAUUACAACUAUAAAAGGCUGGUCAUUUGGUUUGGAGAUUAUUGCCAGUAUUCUCUGUGUUCCAGCUGUUACUAUUACUCUAAGAGAAUUUGACAGAUCUGCUUAUCAGCCUAUAAACAAUAAAUACCAGUGACAUGUGUACGAUUUCUAAAAUUAAGGGGUUGAGGGCACCCAAAUGCUUAAAAACUUGACAUUGAAUGAAAUGCGGGUGCAUAAAUAUCUUCAAAGCAGCAGUAUCAUCAUCUGGCACCAUAACCCAACACAUUUCGACAGCUAAAACCAAAGUCGGAGGAGGGACUUAACCCAAAUCCCAAACACCAAAUACGUCUGUAGUAAAUUCAAUCAAGAAUAUAUACUUGUUGUCCUUGAUUGUGUUCUACAACCAUGACCAGCCAACAUAACAACCAUUGUAAAACUAAACUAACAUGGUGUGUACAUAGUAUACUCUUUGUGGUGUUUCGUCUGAUAUCUGCUGCUAGCUUUAUACAUUGCUGUUAACGUCACCAUUUUGGGGCCUAUGUCGUGUAAAAUCGCAAGCCUAAGUAUUAAACUAAGACCGGAGACUGUUACCUAA
Patella vulgata (common limpet) is the source of this 1350-nucleotide long non-coding RNA. RefSeq lists it as uncharacterized. The record is from RefSeq and is a predicted model, not a curated record. The transcript is spliced from 5 exons. NCBI's taxonomy places the organism in Eukaryota, Metazoa, Mollusca, Gastropoda, Patellidae.